CCUUGACAGAGAAACAGACGAAGUGGUUAGAACUAGUUCGCCUGUAACUUCAAAGAUGCAAUAAUCGUACGUCGAAAGGAAUAAGGUGAGUUAUUAGUCGCUGGGGCACUCUGUGCCUCCAGCUACUAUAGGUUUCGGCUUCAUCGCGGAUUGUUGGUCACAAAAUGACCUACGUCAUUUUUUUGUCAAACAUUACGUCAUUACUUUCAGUCGCUGGAUUCAAGAUGGCCGCCUAUUUGGGAGCGUAUUUGGAAAUAAUUUCAUCGAUUUUGUGCAUAUUUUCUUCAUUUUUUCGAUGAAACUUAAUAGUUUUCCCAUCAGCCAGACUCUAUAAACCGAAAGUCAUCUUAUAUGAGUAAACUUGGAAGGCUGGAAGCCUGAAAUAGACGACAAAAGUUCACAAUUUUCACAAAGUUGGAACUUCGUAAAUUGCAACAAUAUUCGCAAGUUGCUGUUUAUUUGGAUGUAAAUAGAAUCUGCUUAAUGGGACAAGGGUUUAAUAGAGCUUGUUGCCUUGCUGGCAAAUGAUAUUUUAAAAGCUCUCAGGACAGCUGUUAUCUCACAAUAGGUAUUGUACAAUUCAAACACACAGAACAUAUUAAUUUGUAUAAUAGAUAAAUUUGGCAAAGUUAGUUACAUUGUUGCUAUGCAAUUCACAACUUUAAAUAUUCAUGCCUAGUUAGUGUUCUACUGUCAGUAGUUCACACAUAGAACAGAACAGAGGUAACUAAGCAUUUGAUAAGCCCUAUACACUAUAAAAGUCAUUCAUUCAUUCAUGUAGCUAAAUAAUUCUAAAGCUUAGUUAUCUUUGCUCUACUCUAUGCUUCAGUACACCAGAACAAUGAUACUUAAGGCUGCAUUCCAGUUUCACAGGUGCGUACAUGUGCGUACACGCACGUAAAAGUUGAAUUCGCUUAAAAUUUCAUAUAAGUGCAAAUAACCUUUAUUAACAAAUACACAUUAAAUCAUACACAAAACUGAAUGCUGUCCUUUUAUAAAUUUAGUUAUUUCAUAACGCGUAACUGGAAUGCAGCCUUAAGGCAUGUGACUUAUGUAAAGUUGUGAAUUGGAUAUAACCAAACUUAGACAAAUUUGUUUAUUGUCUAUAGUCCGGGGACUUGUUUGAUGAACUUUGUUCUAAUUUUUCCUUGAAUCCCAUUUUUGACAAAAACAAUUUUAUUAUAUGAACACAUAAACUUAACAAACAAAUAGCAGUCUUAAUCUCAAUCGCAUGCAGCAUAAUAUGCAAUAGCCCCAGCGACUAACGCU
Molecule: non-coding RNA, 1269 nt
Organism: Paramuricea clavata
Lineage: Eukaryota; Metazoa; Cnidaria; Anthozoa; Malacalcyonacea; Plexauridae
Source: the annotation of a GenBank genome assembly